AGCGGCGGACGGGUGAGUAACACGUAGGCAACCUGCCCACAAGACAGGGAUAACUACCGGAAACGGUAGCUAAUACCCGAUACAUCCUUUUCCUGCAUGGGAGAAGGAGGAAAGACGGAGCAAUCUGUCACUUGUGGAUGGGCCUGCGGCGCAUUAGCUAGUUGGUGGGGUAAAGGCCUACCAAGGCGACGAUGCGUAGCCGACCUGAGAGGGUGAUCGGCCACACUGGGACUGAGACACGGCCCAGACUCCUACGGGAGGCAGCAGUAGGGAAUCUUCCGCAAUGGGCGAAAGCCUGACGGAGCAACGCCGCGUGAGUGAUGAAGGUUUUCGGAUCGUAAAGCUCUGUUGCCAGGGAAGAACGUCUUGUAGAGUAACUGCUACAAGAGUGACGGUACCUGAGAAGAAAGCCCCGGCUAACUACGUGCCAGCAGCCGCGGUAAUACGUAGGGGGCAAGCGUUGUCCGGAAUUAUUGGGCGUAAAGCGCGCGCAGGCGGCUCUUUAAGUCUGGUGUUUAAUCCCGAGGCUCAACUUCGGGUCGC
Molecule: ribosomal RNA, 543 nt
Filed under: Paenibacillus peoriae
Lineage: Bacteria; Bacillati; Bacillota; Bacilli; Caryophanales; Paenibacillaceae
Description: bacterial SSU rRNA
Rfam family: Bacterial small subunit ribosomal RNA
Source: RNAcentral